AAGAAUACCUCCUAUACGGUACCAAACUACCCCACUUACGGAGCCUUUCGAAAGCAGAAAAUCAGUAUGAAUUUUGUAUAUUUUGUUUCAACUUUUUUUUUUGUUAAGAGUCUUAACCUCCUUACAAGAUCGUAGCUUAAGGCAUACAUCCUUCAUCGGCCACGAUAGAGGAACAAAUAAUGUACUUACUUGUAUUGAAAGCUUUACAAAUUUCAACGGCAUAGUAACAACUUGUAAAGGGUCUUCUUAAAAUAUAGAUAAAAGGCGGCUGAACUUGAUGUUGACUGGCAAUGUUGGGUAUACAAAUCUAAAAUUGAUGAGCUUGAAUGCAAUAACCUAGUAUCUGGAACCUUCGAAAAGUUUUAAAGAAACACGUAACAAAUCCUUUUUAUUUGAAGAGGCUUUCAAGCAAAAGUUACAAUAUUUAAUUGCAUAACACACCUUCAAACUCUGACUUUCGCUAACGGCCUAGAAAUGAUAAACUCAUUAAAGACUUCUAUUUUUUAAAAUUAAUAUUUUUAAUUAAUGGUUGAAAUAUUCAGAAGAACUUCAAAUUUAACUACUUUUAACUUACUGACAUCGUUAUUUUCUUUCCAAAUUUUUUUAUCAGAUCAAGCCUCAACGUACAUCAUUGUGACAGAAUACAGUCUACACCAAUUUAUGAAUAAGCAUUAAGUAUAGCCCUAGCCGAACUUUUUUACUAUCUAACGAAACGCAUCACAUUAUAUAAUAGGCUUUAUGAAGCUAAAACCUUAUGAACCACAAUGUCGAUAACUUCAAAACAGCAACAAUCAUGCUAGAAGUGGACGGGCAAUUUGAAGCAUCUAACACAGUAUACGUAAUUCUUUAACAAUAUUUUUGAGUA
Molecule: non-coding RNA, 865 nt
Organism: Schizosaccharomyces pombe (fission yeast)
Lineage: Eukaryota; Fungi; Ascomycota; Schizosaccharomycetes; Schizosaccharomycetales; Schizosaccharomycetaceae
Source: the annotation of a GenBank genome assembly